GUGCGUGUUCAACUUCAUAAAAACUUUUCUAAAAUGAAGCUCUAAUAUUGACUACUUGUAACUUUAUGUUGCAUUCAUACCUUCACAACAUCCGCAUAAGCCACAUUUCUUGUGUUCUAAUAUUUGUUUUUGUUUUCAAUGAGCAUACUCAACCCUAAUAUUAAAAAAAUCACAUUAAAGUAAAUUCAAAAAAGCAUCUUUAAAAAUUCAAAAUCAUGUCUAUUAGUCAUUGUAUUCCUCAAAUCCAUCAUUGGAUUGCUCCAUGCUCCAUAAAUCAUUGCCUGUGAAGAGUCAACUAUGUCUCUUUCACAUAGCCAACAAGUAUGCUACAAAUUAACACAUACUUGCUCAAACGUCUCCAAUCAUUGUUAUACUCCACCUCGUCGGUCGACCAUACAAUAUCUACCCAUAGUGUCAUCAUCGACUCUUGCAUAUCUUCAAGUCACAUUGCUUGCAUUUUGCACAAUCAUUUUUUCUAUGUAAAACAGACAAAACAAUAACAGUCGGUGAAAAUACAACUUCAAUUGCUUCCAUCAAAG
Molecule: long non-coding RNA, 539 nt
Filed under: Trifolium pratense (red clover)
Lineage: Eukaryota; Viridiplantae; Streptophyta; Magnoliopsida; Fabales; Fabaceae
Description: long non-coding RNA (TPRA_LNC002536)
Source: RNAcentral